AUACGGAGGAUCCGAGCGUUAUCCGGAUUUAUUGGGUUUAAAGGGUGCGCAGGCGGCCAUUUAAGUCAGCGGUUAAAUCGUGGGGCUCAACCCCAUUCUGCCGUUGAUACUGGGUGGCUUGAUUGCGGUCGAGGUUGGCGGAAUUCGUUGUGUAGCGGUGAGAUGCAUAGAUAUGACGAAGAACACCGAUUGCGUAGGCAGCUGACCAGAACGCAAAUGACGCUCAUGCACGAAAGUGCGGGGAUCGAACAGGAUUAGAUACCCUGGUAGUCCGCACAGUAAACGAUGAAUACUUGUUUUCGGCGAUAUAAUGUCGGAGGCAAAGCGAAAGCGAUAAGUAUUCCACCUGGGGAGUACGCCGGCAACGGUGAAACUCAAAUGAAUUGACGGGG
Molecule: ribosomal RNA, 392 nt
Filed under: uncultured bacterium
Lineage: Bacteria
Description: partial 16S ribosomal RNA
Rfam family: Bacterial small subunit ribosomal RNA
Source: RNAcentral